Diorhabda carinulata is the source of this 1281-nucleotide long non-coding RNA. RefSeq lists it as uncharacterized. NCBI's taxonomy places the organism in Eukaryota, Metazoa, Arthropoda, Insecta, Coleoptera, Chrysomelidae. The record is from RefSeq and is a predicted model, not a curated record. The transcript is spliced from 3 exons.
GCGCUAAUACACUAGCUACUGACUCUUAUAAUAGUAUCGUACUUUUGAAUUAUGGAGUGUACUCCAUUUUUGAUUGUACCUAAGAUUUAAGAAGAUUUAAAAAUAUGUUGAAAGAUUUGGAAUCCAUUCGUAGUUAAUUUCUGAAGUAUGCUGGUUCCAAGUAAUACAUAAUGUUCAUGUGUAAUAAUUUUUCGUUUUCUAAUUUUUCUUUAUUAUUGAGCCAACGGACAGGAAUACGAAAAGUGCGAUUUUUUUUUGCUUUGAAAGGACUGGAGCCAUUAUGAAAACGAUAUAGGAUCCUAAGUAGGGAUGUAUGAAUUCAAUGAGGUGGAAUAGAGGCUUAAGAAAUCUGAUUAGUGGACUGGUCAGAGAGGCAACAGAUAGUGGGAAACACUUUCAACUCAGAUAUACAAUGAAACUACGAUUUCUUUGAAAAACUCCAAUUGUGGAUGGUAAAAACAAUGCUUGAAGGUUAAUGUCACCGAGUUUAUAGGAUAUGGAGGUUUCAGGAAUAGCCUUGAUAUAAGAAAAUUAAUGGGAGCAAAAAAAAUGAGUCGACGAAACAAACAGCUAUUUGGAGAGUGUAUUAGAUUGUGUUUUGAUUGCAAGUACGGAAGAAAAUAUGAUAGAAGUGAUAGAAGAUGUGAUAAGCAAGAAAAUAGGCAUAAUGAGGGAAGCCAGACAUAUGACACACAUUGCUUUCGAAUUAGGACAUAGAAAUAAUCACAUUAUAUGUCUCAAUUCUAUCGGAUUUCCUUUGGACAAAACGAGGAUGUAGUCUAUUACUUAUGAGUUUAUAAACUAGGAUUGCCACAUUGAUUCAUCUCCUUUAUUAUAGGAAUGUGAAGUAGAGAGAAAUUAAAUAAGUGCAAUGGCAAAAUAAAGGAAAGAGAAAAGGAAAAAAGAAAAAAAUUAAGAGGUUAUACCCUAUUGAAGAUCUACGUACUAUUAGUAUUUUUCAGGAACAUCAAAAAGUGUUCACUUAGGAGGAAACGUUGAUUAGCUGCAACCCAGGUUCCCUAUAUUUCUCUCGAUGUGGGAGAAAUACAGUUUCUAAGAAUAAAAGUUCACAAUUUUUUUUUCACUAUUGUGCCUAUUGUAAAUUAAUGCUUUAUGUCGUUUUAGUUGUGUUAAUUACUAUUCAUAUUUGAAUAUUAUACUUUUUUAGUUUUAUUGUAGAAUGAAUAAUUCAAAUAUAGGCGCACCCAAAUCAAUUUAAAAAUUUAAAUUAUAUCAAGUCUUUGAAAACUUAAAUUUACCUUUUCCUAGUAACCAUUUUGA